RNAcentral lists this ribosomal RNA (300 nucleotides) under uncultured bacterium. RNAcentral describes it as "bacterial SSU rRNA". It matches the Rfam family "Bacterial small subunit ribosomal RNA", at positions 1050 to 1351 of the family's 1533-position model. The record is from RNAcentral.
UGUCGUCAGCUCGUGUCGUGAGAUGUUGGGUUAAGUCCCGCAACGAGCGCAACCCUUGUCAUUAAUUGCCAUCAUUCAGUUGGGCACUUUAAUGAAACUGCCGGUGACAAACCGGAGGAAGGUGGGGAUGACGUCAAGUCCUCAUGGCCCUUAUGGGUAGGGCUUCACACGUAAUACAAUGGCGCGUACAGAGGGUUGCCAACCCGCGAGGGGGAGCUAAUCUCAGAAAGCGCGUCGUAGUCCGGAUCGGAGUCUGCAACUCGACUCCGUGAAGUCGGAAUCGCUAGUAAUCGCGGAUCA